UACAGAGGUCCCAAGCGUUGUUCGGAUUUACUGGGCGUAAAGGGUGCGUAGGAGGUUGGCAAAGUCGGGUGUGAAAUCUCACCGCUUAACGGUGAAAUUGCGCUCGAUACUGGUUGACUAGAGUAUCGGAGGGGAAAGCGGAAUUCCUGGUGUAGCGGUGAAAUGCGUAGAUAUCAGGAGGAACACCAACGGCGAAGGCAGCUUUCUGGACGAUAACUGACUCUGAGGCACGAAGGCUAGGGGAGCGAACGGG
Molecule: ribosomal RNA, 253 nt
Filed under: uncultured bacterium
Lineage: Bacteria
Description: partial 16S ribosomal RNA
Rfam family: Bacterial small subunit ribosomal RNA
Source: RNAcentral